AUUGAAUGCUGGCGGCAUGCCUUACACAUGCAAGUCGAACGGCAGCACGGGAGCAAUCCUGGUGGCGAGUGGCGAACGGGUGAGUAAUAUAUCGGAACGUGCCCAGUCGUGGGGGAUAACGUAGCGAAAGCUACGCUAAUACCGCAUACGAACUAUGGAUGAAAGCGGGGGAUCGCAAGACCUCGCGCGAUUGGAGCGGCCGAUAUCAGAUUAGGUAGUUGGUGAGGUAAAGGCUCACCAAGCCGACGAUCUGUAGCUGGUCUGAGAGGACGACCAGCCACACUGGGACUGAGACACGGCCCAGACUCCUACGGGAGGCAGCAGUGGGGAAUUUUGGACAAUGGGCGCAAGCCUGAUCCAGCAAUGCCGCGUGCAGGAUGAAGGCCUUCGGGUUGUAAACUGCUUUUGUACGGAACGAAACGGUGAGCUCUAAUACAGUUUGCUAAUGACGGUACCGUAAGAAUAAGCACCGGCUAACUACGUGCCAGCCGCCGCGGUAA
RNAcentral lists this ribosomal RNA (500 nucleotides) under uncultured bacterium. RNAcentral describes it as "partial 16S ribosomal RNA". It matches the Rfam family "Bacterial small subunit ribosomal RNA", at positions 30 to 523 of the family's 1533-position model. The record is from RNAcentral.